AGUGAACGCUGGCGGUAGGCCUAACACAUGCAAGUCGAACGGCAGCACAGUAAGAGCUUGCUCUUACGGGUGGCGAGUGGCGGACGGGUGAGGAAUACAUCGGAAUCUACUUUUUCGUGGGGGAUAACGUAGGGAAACUUACGCUAAUACCGCAUACGCCCUACGGGUGAAAGCAGGGGAUCUUCGGACCUUGCGCGAUUGAAUGAGCCGAUGUCGGAUUAGCUAGUUGGCGGGGUAAAGGCCCACCAAGGCGACGAUCCGUAGCUGGUCUGAGAGGAUGAUCAGCGACACUGGAACUGAGACACGGUCCAGACUCCUACGGGAGGCAGCAGUGGGGAAUAUUGGACAAUGGGCGCAAGCCUGAUCCAGCCAUACCGCGUGGGUGAAGAAGGCCUUCGGGUUGUAAAGCCCUUUUGUUGGGAAAGAAAAGCAGCAGGUUAAUACCCCGCUGUUCUGACGGUACCCAAAGAAUAAGCACCGGCUAACUUCGUG
Molecule: ribosomal RNA, 492 nt
Filed under: uncultured bacterium
Lineage: Bacteria
Description: partial 16S ribosomal RNA
Rfam family: Bacterial small subunit ribosomal RNA
Source: RNAcentral